Molecule: non-coding RNA, 6657 nt
Organism: Coturnix japonica (Japanese quail)
Lineage: Eukaryota; Metazoa; Chordata; Aves; Galliformes; Phasianidae
Source: RefSeq, a predicted model, not a curated record
UUACUCACAUGCAUCAGUCUGUGCAGGAUCUGGUCCUAAUAUAGAACCAGUUCUUGAUGUCAUAAAAUCUUUUUUAACAGCAUCUUGUGUUACAUUUAAUUUAUUUCACAUGGCCUCAUAAAAUAAGAUAAAAGCUUGUAAGUCUAAAAGUCAUAUAAAGAAGAUGGGGAAAAAAAGUCCUACCAUGUAUUCAUGUUUAUUAAGCAUUAUCUUCAUGCAACUUACAGGCUUUUAACUCCAGAAUUUCCAAAUGUUUCCCCUGAUCCUAAUUGCAGUCAGCAAGGGCUGUUAGUGCAUGAAACAGAUUGCAGCGGAUGAGCUUUUUGAGUGAGCAAGGCUUUCCCCAGCCUCUCACAGACUAGUGCUCACACUGCCCUUGCUGCACAGGACAGGACUGGAUGUGCCAUCCAGUACACAAGGGUAGGUGGCAGUUCAGCAUCUGGCUAACUCUCUCCAUCCACUAAGCUGCACGUUACUUUGGCUUCUGCAAUAACACAUGGGAUGUGAUAUAUCAGAAGGGCUGCUUUUCAAUUUUUUGUUUUAGCAUGAGCUCCUCUAUGCCAAAGGAAACCUAAAUGAGUAAAGAACAAAUAUCUAGACUGCAAGAGGAGCAACAUGUCUGUUUUGUUUCUGACCGCCAGGUGCAGCACAUGAAGCCUGGGAAUCAUUGCUUGUAUCUCCUGGCGGCCUGCAGACAGAGAAUGGCUCCAAGCAGGAACAUCGUGAGCAGAGGAGCAUCUUUGAAGGCAAAGAUGGCUUCACCCCUCUUCAAGUCAAGGCCAGAAUGCUCCUUCUCCCAGGCUGGUGCUGGCAGCAACAGCAGUAAUGCUAGGAAAGAGAAAAGACACAGAUAAAUGGUAGGCCAGCACAUGCCAGAGCAUGCACCUGAGAGCAGUGUGAUUAACUGCAGGAUGGUGUUUUACAAAACCCUGUGAAAACUACCAGAGUUAAGCUUUGCAAUUUAGGAAAACACUUAUUUUUACCCACGAGGCAAUGCCCAUCAUCACUGCUGAGAGAUUUUAAAGUGGGCCACAAUGGCCAAGCCCUGUUUGAUUUUAGCAACUUUCAUGAGUUGAUGUAAAAGUGUAAAAUGUCAAAGGGGGUGGCUUCUUGCUCCCAGUGUGGGCCCUUUAGUGGUAAUCAUUACUGUAAGGAAACAGAGAGGUCUCACCUCACUGUAGCUGCUGCUAGUGCAGUGCCAUCAGCAGGCAGUCUGGUGGAAGGUGGUAGAGCUUGCACGUUCCCUACACCAUGGCUAAUGCAGUGAGCAGACUGCACCCCCAGCCUCAGCCCUGGAAAAGAAAAGUUACUUCUGGUGGAGUUAAAGGAUUCCUGAGGACAACUUUCAGAAAAGGCAAACUUGAACCACAAUCUGACACAACAGCCAAUAAACAGCUUUGAGAUAAUCGCACGUACCUCUGUGGUAGGCAGUGGUCUAACCCAGGCAGAGAUGCUUUUAGAACAUGGCUUUUCUCACCAGCCCUUGAUAUUUUUCUUGUGAUCAAGGCAACAUCUACAGUGAGAAACCUACGCCACAGCUGUCAGGGCUUCUCUCCAGCAGAUAAUUAAAUUCCAACUCGAUUGCCAUUGUGACAAGUGAGCUCAAGUUUGGUGGUACCAUGCCCGCCAGCCAAACGCAGACGAGAGCCAUCAGCUGCACAGUCAUUAAUGGCUGUGCUGGAAGCAGAGGUGCUGUGGUACUUACUGGCACUCCCCAGGAGGCGGUCAGCCUCCCAGAGACUGACAAUAGCAGGAGCACAUCUCGAGGUGUGACUGCAUUUGGAUCCACAUGCUUACGUGGGAGGCCUGACAAAAGUGGAGUGAGUCAACGAGUUUAGAGGACUUUCAAGAUCUCUUCCACACCAGAGAAAGGCAGGGUUUAGCCUGGGUUGGUGCGUGGUAUGAUUGCUAAAUGCAAGAAGACAAAGUUAUCUGAGUUCUCUGCUUUGGAUUGCACUCUUAAGUUGCUCUUUUAGAUAAAGAGUUUAUUUUUUUUCCCUCUCCGCUUGAUUACAAUAUGCGCAUCUCAUGUUUCUGAAGAUACAUCUAUUCUUCAUAGAAAAGAACAUUAAAACUGAGUUUAUCCAUUAAAAAUCAGACUGCACAUUAGCUUAGAUGUAUUUGGCUUCCUAAUAACUGUUUUUCCAUAGCUGGCCCACAUCAUAUGUAAAUCCACUGUGUAUUUCUAGGCUCGUUAUUGAACUUUACAAUUUUAAAUUCAGCUGGAGGAAGACUGUGAUUUAUUCUCACAAGAGAGAAAUGCUGAUUUGCUACCAGCAUCUCAGAGAGACUCCUCCAGUUCAUAAAAGGUGACCAGGUCUCAUGUUGAAGAACCACAUGAGCCACAUCUGUCCCUUUGCCUUGCUUGUUGCUUGCAGGUUUACAGCCAGCUAAGCUCUGAGGCGGUUAUGGAGAUGGCCUCUGCUGAGGCACGUACUCACCCCAACUCUCUGUGCCAGAUGAAGGACAGCAGGCUACAUGGAGUCUCCUGGAAGUCUCCAUUCUCACCUUAAGACCAAGCACCAGCCAACACUCUGAAUUAUGAAGUACAAAUAUCAGAAAUCACCUUCGUCAUUGGGGGAGGCCUCGGCCUGAAAGCGCCCAACAAAGAGCGGCUGGCGGCAGGUCAAGGUCCUUCCAUUGAGUCGCCCAGUCCCCAUCAGGUUGUGUUGGUGAUCAGCCAGCUGUCAGGGAAAAAAGACUCUCCAGAUCAGUGUGGUCUGGGACCAGGACCAUGGCCUGGGCCUAACUGUAAGAGCUACACUCAUUUAAAGACAGGACAUGGAGAACACAGCGAUGGGGAAAAGCGCAAAAGCUUCAGCAGAUGAGGAAGAGUGAUUUAUUCUUCUGUGUUUUCCCUUGCUGAAACUGCUCAAGAUGUAUUACCAUGGCUACCCACCUGGAAAGGCAACACUUUUCCAGUUACUUCAUGGCAGCACAAGGGACCCCAGGAAAGGCUUCCUUCAGGUGAAGAGAUGCCAGUGACUAUUUCCACCACAAGCCUCCUCCUCCUCCCAUGGUGCCCAUGCCCUCUGUUCUGGCCCUGGCCCCUCCAAAGUCUUCUGCAGGCCUGGGGCUGCCCCACAGAACCAGCCACAUGUACUGUGCUCUGCUCCAUGGGAGCUGCUCUGCAUGGCACAGACCACAGCCAGGUGAGGAGCAAAGGGCAGAUGUGGCAUGGUUAGUCAGCCCAGCUUUGAGCUGGUGUCCCACAGUGGUAACCACAUUUCUAACCCAAUGCAUAGAUGAGAGGUGCCUGGAAAGAUGGGCUGCAUGUCAUGAUUUUCAAGCUUAUUUUGUGAUAUCUCAUGUGGGAUAUGGCCCUGCCCAAGGUCCCCUGUGCAGGACAACAGAGACAGAAAGGGACUGCUUGCCAGCAGCUGCAGACACCCUGCUGCCCCAUUACAGGGCCACCCUCCUGCAAACGGCAGCACCGUUUCCUGACCGUACUGCGUGAUGCCUUUGCAUUCCUAAAUCCUUAAAUCCCUGCCUGCAUUUCUCGAAACACAACACUUCAGGAAAAGAGCAAGCCUGAGCCAGGGCUGCGUGGUGGCCUGGGCACCGGCUUCAUCACGUUCCUACCCAUUAGCCAAGCUGACAUCAUUAAAGUACAUACUCAUUUAAGGAUUACUCUAACGUUGCUCAUUUCUAGGUCAAUUAUUGACUUAAAUCAUGUUAAACUUUAACAUAAAUAUGCUACAAUAUCACCUGUACAUAUAUUACGAUAAUUAUAUGGUUACAAAAUUCUUUUAAAACAGCAAUUUCCCCUUUGGAAACUAGGGAAACUGGCUACUGCUGGAAAAUAAAGGCUCACAGACUGCUUUGAAAUCUACACAAAGAAAUCUGAAGAUUCCCAUUACCUUCCCAUCAGUUUCUCAGCAAUCGGUUUGGAUUAUUAAACACAUCUACAAAUUAAUUCCCCCUCAGUUAAAAUCAUCGCUUCCUAAAAACGUUCUCUCUAACCCUUUCGGAAAGAAAAGGGGGGGGGGCACAAGAAGUGAAAGGCACCGGAUCACAAACAACUUCUAAAGAUAGAAGCAAUGUGAGAUAAUGAAGAAAAUAUCAUCAUCAUUAAAAACAAAGCACUGCUAACUUUUUCACAUUGUAGCAAACUUUUCAAUUAAGAUUUCUUCCCGGCUAUUGAAAUACGCUUCAAGUAAUGAUUUUCUGUAAUUUGUCUUUUUCCUUUGGAAACAUACCGUGCUAUUGUCAGCUUUAAAAAAAGAAGCAAUUUUCUGACUUUUGAGAUUGAGCAGGUCAUGGAAAAAUUACUACUGUGGGAACCUGUAAUUAAAUGGAAAAUGCAGCUGCACUUAUGAAAAACUAAAAUUAAAUUUAUUCUAUUAAUACUUGAUUCCAGGAUGACAUUUGACUCUUCAGACACAGGUCCAACUGAAACGGCACCUUACCUGCAGCUUGCAAAGGCGGACGUGAUAGAAGAUGUACCAACAUAUUGCUAAUUAUCUGCUGUCCAAUUAAGUUACAUUCGUUAUAGCAGGAUAGUCAUUUAUGCACGUAGCCCUGCUUCUUUUUCUGGUACUGGCACUUCAUCUUUGGGUGUUUUGUUGGUUUUUGUUUUCCUAAAGGAGUCAAUUAAAAUAAAUCCAUGCAAAAUCAGUAACCCUAUUGUAAAUUUGAAUUGAAAGAAAGGAACUUUUGAGCAAAACUAUAUAAAACAGUGCAUCAGGUAAAGCUCUCCUCCUGGCUUUCAGCAGUCGUGAUAUGGAGACAAGAUUCGAUACAGUAUCAGGACACAAAACCAGGCUUCAGUUAAAGAAAAAAUACCAGGUUCCAACCAAAUGCUUACAGUGGACGAGAUACAGAGUUUAAAUUAUAUUAAUAAAAAUCUCCAAUAAGAUAUUUCUGUGACCCACGAUACCUUUUAAAACACCCAAAAUAGGCAAGGUGAACAAAAGGCGCACCAAGAGAUUCGGGUGCAGACGAAUUGACUAAGGAUCUAUUAGACACAAUCUGACAUCUGAUGGUAAAAAAUACUUGCCCAGAAACCUUAAAAUAUAAAGUUAGAAAUAAUGCAAGAAGAGCAGAUCAGUUUAAAAUAACUGUAUUAAUUUUAUUUAGUAAUUUUAAUUAAAAAACACCAGUGGUUUUUUUUAUUCAUUGGCAUUUAGGAACUUCUCAGAAUUUCUAGGGUAAUAGCAGGGAAUAUUGAGCGACCUCUCCUUAUUACAUGAUUUUUAGAAAUUACUAAAUAUGAAUUUUCUAUACUAUAUAAUAAUCUGUAAAACUAAAUUCCCUUUAAACCUCCACUAAUUUGCUAGUUUUGGGGGGUUCUUUAUUUGAAUACAUAGGGAGGAAAUUUUCCAUCUCCUGUUCAGCAAUCACACACACCCAGUUGUCUGUGCUAUUAUUAAAAGCACAACUAAAUCCACAUUGUUUAUUUCACAUUUAUAUUAUACAUCUACAUGUUAUACACUAUAACACACAGGUUGCAAUCCUUUCUUCGUAUGCAAAUUCAGCUCCACUAUUUUGAUUACACUUCCAUAUUAACUCUAAUACAGAUAUUCAUAACUCCUGUGAGAAGGAAAGCAGCGCAUCGGAGAUCUGCGAAGGAGCAAUCACACGCAGCCUGGGAAAGAUUUGUUCAUCUUUCAGAAGCGACUUGUGAGCAAUAGCGUGGUGGCACAGCAAGCCACAAAACCUGCACUGCGUGCACCGCCUGACUGAAGGCACUCAGAAGGGACCCGAGGAGCCAGCAGUACAUCCAUUUGAUUGCACGUGCACCACUUGCUUGCUCUCGGCUGCCUGUUUGGUCAGUGGCUUUUGCUUUCUUUUUUUUUCCCUUCAUGCUGUGGAGCUGGAUUCCUAUUUUCCAGCCACGUAUAUUCCACAGAGAAAAGGAAAACUGAUCCAUGAAGUUCCUAUUUGCAUAAAGCACAGAAACAUCUGUCACGAGCUCCUUGUCAGAGAAACGAGCAUCAGGAGCGAGAUACUGCGGCUGGUCGCCUGCCCUUAAUAAAAUUCAGUUCUUUUUCUGUCAAUAGCAGCUCAGAGUGAGAGUGUUUGAAGGGGCAGAGAAGAGAGAAUUUGACCAGAGAAGACAUUACAGUUUGAAACGAGCAAUCAGUUACGUGAUGCAGUCUCACUGAUUAAUGUGCCCAAGCGAGCUCUGCCCCAGGAUCAGAAAUGCCCUGUUCUAUUCAAUCUCAGCUCUUUGCAGGCGCUGUUCUUACAAAGGUGUAUGAUUAUUAAAUCAGAGUCCUGUAGAUGCCUGCAAUACACAGCAGCUUUCUACUGUUGUUAAACUUUUUUGCAGUAAAUGAUCCGUGGUGGCAAGGCUGACAACAGAAAGCAGUCGGUCUGCAGUGCUCGUUGGAGUUCUGAUUUCAGCCUCGGGAAUCCAAGAAAAAUAUCAAGGAAGACUUAUCUGUAUCUCAGAUCAGGAACAUUUUCAGUCUGUUUCUGUAUGUAUAUAUGAUGCAUGUCUACAAUCAUAAAUAUCAGGUGGAACAGCCAAUUUGUUCGUACAGAAUAUAUAAAUGGAACAGGAAGACGGGGAAGUAAAAUAGCAACUCUUAAAAACAGAGUAACUGUGUUAGGUCAAGUUAUUUCCAGAACCACUACAAAUACUUUGGGUAACAUACAAGAUUUCUAUUUCUAAGUCCUGUUCCUUUCCAUUAUGGACUAACCCUUAAAUUA